RNAcentral lists this long non-coding RNA (5051 nucleotides) under Homo sapiens (human). RNAcentral's name for it is "HSALNT0086463". Lineage: Eukaryota; Metazoa; Chordata; Mammalia; Primates; Hominidae. The record is from RNAcentral.
CCCAAAUUCCGCGAGUCAGGUGACCCGGCCCCGGGCUCUGGCCGGGACCUGCGGGGGGUGCUCUCCGCCCUCCAGCCCCCGGCGCAUCUCCCCGGCCCGCGCGUCCCGGCUGUUCGUGGCUUGCUUUUAGUCUCCAGGGAUCGUGGGACCCUUCUCCGCGGAUCUGUUUCAUCCUCUUAACCUGAAGUUAGUGGAAGCCCCCCACGCUCUGACCCCUGGGUUUAGGACGGAUGAGAUCCCAGAUACUGUUUAUUUCUGAUUAACUUCCAAAGUCGUUUGUGGUAGUGGCGAGUGUUUCAAAGUCACGGAUCCAAGCCCCUUCUGACCAGAAUCUAAAAGGGAGUCAGCAGAGAUUUCUCCAAGGGUAAGAGGCUACUACAAUAUUCUUCUCAGUGAGGUUGGGCACCUGCCGAGGAAACGAGGCUAAGAUCUUUGGCAAUAAAUACAUUCCGAAGACCUGCAUCAGUGCCCUGCUUGCAGAGUGUGGCAGAGAAGCUAAGCAUCUCAAACUCGGCAUUACAGACCUGAGAAGGCUGUAAGACUCUCUGGUCCAUCAUCACACGGGAGGAAUAUAAAUCCUCAGAGCUGUGCUGGGCAGCAUGUUAGCUGCUAGCCACACAUGGCUGCUGGACACUUGAAAUGUUGCUAGUCUGAAUUGUGCUGUGCUGUAAAUGCAAUUCACACCAGAUUUCAAAGAGUGCAGAAACUGAGUUUCAAGUAGAUCCAGCAACUUGCCCAAGUCGUAAAACCAGAAAGAGUGGAGCCGAGAAUCAAAGCUUGGAUGCCUGACCAGAGUGGACCUUUGAAACACUCCUCUGUAUAUUGUCUUCAGGCUGCCUGUAUUUACAAACUCUGAUAUUGACCUCAUUACUUCUCCCCGUUCUGCAGGCAGAAGACUGCUAUGAGAGCACUUAGGACCCAAGCGACAUCAGCCUUGGAACAGGCAAAUAAAAAUGGAAAGCUAAUCUUGGUGGCCUUCUCUUCUUCAAAAGGACAUUUUUAAGAUCCAAAUAGCCAUCAGUAUGGCCAAGUUGGUUGUUCGGCUAUGCAUAUCAGAAAUUCCAUAAAAUAUUCUCCAAUUACGGUGCUGGAGGAGGGUAUUAUGAGGAGUUCAUGAACAUCAAGAAGGCAGUUAAUGGGUUAUCAGAAGACUAAGAGAAGUGGUUUCCACAAAGCACAGAGUCAGAAGCAAUAAUGUGGUGUUUGGAGCCACAAGUACACCAGGUGCAGCUUUUCUUGCUUCCUCUACAGUGGAUCACAAUCUUGGCAGCCCAUUUAGAAUCACCUGCUUUUAAAAGUCACCAACUGCCUUGGCCCCAUACCCUAGGAUACUUACUAAAGUGGUCUGGUGUGGGGCCCAAGCAUUGGUAUUUUACAGUCUUUCCCUAGAUCAUCAUUAAAUGGGGCCACUGCUUUAUUGGUUGUCCCAGCCAUGUCAGAGCAUCUGGCUCUUGACUUAGCAUUGCAAGCAGAGGGAAAUUAGGUAAAAAGGGUGGGGUGGUUCUUGCCAUGGACCUUGCAAAAGUUGAUGCUCCAGAAAGAUUUCUUGACAGAGUGAUUCUAAACUGAGUUGCUAUUUUUGUUGGUAUCUCUCUGGUACAUUUGUUUUCUAUUAUGGAGUUAAACCUGCCCUCUGAGAUUCCUGUUUUCUUCAUUGAGGUCAAUUUCUGCUUAUGAGAUAUUUUGUGUUCUUUCUUAUCCAAAUAGUGCACCGGUAGUAAAUCUGUGUACUACUUUUGCUGAUGAAUUAUUUCAAAUCUAUUAAUGGUUUCUUGUCUAUGUUUUUCUUUUCCUUUUUUUUUUUGAGAUGGAGUCUCGCUCUGUCACCCAGGCUGGAGUGCAAUGGCAUGAUCUCAGCUCACUGCAAUUUCCGCCUCCCAGGUUCAAGCGACUCUCCUUCCUCAGCCUCCUGGGUAGCUAGGACUACAGGCAUCCACCACUACGCCUGGAUAAUUUUUGUAUUUUUUUUUAGUAGAGACAGAGAUUUCACCAUAUUGGCCAGGCUGGACUCAAACUCCUGACCUUGUGAUUCACCUGCCUCAGCCUCCCAAAGUGCUGGGAUUACAGGCAUGAGCCACUGCGCCCAGCCUUUUUUUUUUUUUUUUGGAUAAGUUCUUGCUCUGUCGCCCAGGCUGGAGUGCAGUGGUGCGACCUCGGCUUACUGCAACCCCAUGCUCAAGUGAUCCUCUCACUUCAGCCUCCCCAGUAGCUGGGACUACAGGUACAUGCCACCACACCCGGCUUUGUUCAUGUUUUUCAAAGGCUCUGUAUCCAUUUGGCUUCUGUUAUUCAUUUUCAUUCUUCCAUUUUUUGUUUGCUUUCUUUAAAAUCCUUAGUAGACUACAUAGUUUUAAAAAUCUAUCUUUGUACUGUAUGAGUGAACAUUUUUUUUCUUUUCUUUUUUUUUUUUUUUUUGAGAUGGUCUCACUCUGUCACCUAAGCUGGAGCACAGUGGCACACAACUCACUGUAGCCUCGACCUCCUGGGCUCAACUGAUCCUCUUGCCUCAGCCUCCCAAGUAGCUGGGACCACAAGUAUAUGCCACCAUGUUCACUUAAAUUUUUUAUUUUUUGUAGUGACAGGGUCUCACCAUGUUGCCUACGCUAGUCUCAAGCUCCUGGGCUCAAGUGACCCUCUUGCCUUGGCCUUCCCAAGUACUGGGAUUAUAGGUAUGAGCCACCACACUCGACCAUGAACACAGUUUUAAGAGACACUUUUCACAGCAGAUUGGUCAUGCUUAAGACAUAUGGCUGUACUACUGUGAAGAUAUGUAUCUAUAUCUAUAUAUAUAGUUUUUUUUUUUUUGAGACAGAGUCUCACUCUGUCACCAAGGCUAGAGUGCAGUGGGGCAAUCUCAGCUCACUGCAGCCUCUGCCUCCUGGUUCAAGCGAUUCUCCUGCCUCAUCCUUCCGAGUAGCUGGGAUUACAGGUGCACACCACAAUGCCCAUCUAAUUUUUGUAUUUUAGUAGAGAUGGGGUUUCACCAUGUUGGCCAGGCUGGUCUCGAACUCCUGACCUCAAGUGAUCUGCCUACCUCAGCCUCCCAAAGUGCUGGGAUUAUAGGUGUGAGCUACCAUGCCCGGCCUACUGUGAAGAUACUGAAAACAUUCCACAAGUUCUUUGUUUUGCUUUAAUACAAACUUUUGUAACUAUCCAGCUAUGCACUUUAAGCAGGUUUCUCACAUUCAGGAUGAGAAUUCUUCUAUCUAAAUUAUUAUUCUUUUUUUGCCUUCUCUUUCAAAAAGAGCCAUGUAGUUUUUUGUCUUAGACUUCUGGUUUGAGUUCCAGAAUAAAAAGAUGAAGGCUGUGAAAAUGUGCUUGACUAUACUGUGACAUGCCAGAACAUGGAACCAGAAAAGAGGAGAGGGAUGGAACUGUGGGAGUCAGGGAGACCGCUGUGAAAAUAUUCCUUCCACAUGAAUAGCAUUCCUUCUAAAUGAUUAGAGUUUAGAGUGGAAGGUCCCAGAAGCCACCAGAAGCAGGAAGAGAGGCCAUGCGACUUCCACUUGUGGAUUCCUGGAAGGCUGAGAACACAAAAGCCAAGAAGACAUACUGACUUCAGGAUAAUAGACCACAAAAGUGGGGAGGGAAGAUUCUGGUGUUAAGGAUAUCCAGGUCACUUUUGGCCAACCAGAGGGAAGUUUGUCCUUUCAGAUUAUGUAACAGGGAAGGGAAUUUUGGAAGCCCUUGGAGAGAACCAGAAAACAAAGUAAGGUGGCACCGAGUGAGCCUGGGAAACUUGCCACCAAAAGACUCAGGGAUCAAGGUCAAAGAGAGGGUUGUAGAGGUCUGAGUGGGUCUCGUGUUUGCUUUGUGGGUUUCUGGGAAGCAUUUUGAAAUAUUUUUACUUAAACUGUGUGUCUUAAGAGGACGCUCUCCAUUUACAUCCAACAUAACAUGCUCAUAUGAACAAAUGUAAAUUAUGAGAACAUCCUGUGUGCUCCUUCUCAUCUGGAUUCUCCCUUCCUGACCACACUGCCUUCUGCUCCAAGUCUGGCCAAGCUGAUUUGCAUGUUUGUUUGAGAGGGAUGGAAAAUCAUUAGAGUUUAGAGUGGUAUUUUGGAUAAAUUUUUGAAUGGUGUGAGUGAGACCAGUUCUGCAGAUGGUCAGUGAGAACAAAGAAGGCACACCCAGGCAGGGGUUCUCCUAGCAUGGCCUCAAGAGUGGGCUUCUACACCCCCAAGCAGUUGUCAGCUACUGGGCAGCAUUCAUGGUGAAAAUCACUUUUAUUUUCUCUUUUUAAAAAUAUUGUAUUUAUUUAUUAGUAUUGUUAUUAUUUACCUUGUGGGACUUUGUUUGUUUGUUUCUAUAGAGAUAGGGUCUCACUUUGUUGCCCAGGCUUAUCUCGAACUUCUGAGUGCAAGCGAUCCUCCCACCUUGACUUCCCAAAGUCCUGGGAGCCCCCGUGUCUAGACUAAAAUGUAUUUUUUAUUAACUAUGUUUUGAGACAGGGUCUUGCUAUGUCACCCAGGCUGGUCUCAAACUCCUGGGCUCAAUGGAUUUUCCCACCUCAGCCUCCCAAGUAGCUGGGACAACACGCAUGCACCACUGUGCCUGACUCUUCUCUUUGUUUUUAAAUAUGGACUAAAGAAAAAAAAUGAAAGAAUUUAUUUUAAGAAGGGAAACAAGAAGUCCUCUAUCAGGUAGUAAAUUUAAACCCCAGUUUCUCCACUUAGUAGCUGUGUUUUUGGGGGCAGAUUACUUAAUCUCCCUUGGCUUCAUUUUCCUUAUCUGCCAAAUGGGGGUAACAUUAGUACCUGCCUCUUGGGUUAUUUUGGAGAUUAAAUAAUUAAUAUAUACGAAGCCUGUACAAUAGUGUCUGGCACAGAGUAAGAACUAAAUAAAUAAUAUCAGUAAAUAUUACUAACAUUGAGAAGCAUAAGACAGUUGUAAAGUCUGAGGGGAAAUAAGAGAGUGGUAUCUAUGGAAAUUAAUUCAACUGUCUUUAAAAAGGUCAUAGAUCAAAGAUUAACAUUUCUAAGAUGCCAUUUGCUAAGUUUUAAAUGGAAACUUUAUUUAUUGACUGGUAUGUAAGAUACAACAUUGCACAC